GGAAUGUAACUUUGUAAACAAUUCAGUAAUCUGCAUGGCGGAAGGAACAAAAGGUAAUGCUAUAGUGCCAAGUUGAUGAUGAUGUCAAGUGACAUUACAAUCAACCUCAAAAUGUUUACUCAUCUUUAUGGAAUAUUGAAUUGUGCACAAUUUGAAUAUCACUCUUAUUGUUACAAUACAAUGGAGUUGGUUUGUGAAGAUAUAUACCCAUAUCUGCUAGCGAC
This 224-nucleotide long non-coding RNA is filed under the name Olea europaea (common olive). RNAcentral's name for it is "long non-coding RNA (OEUR_LNC007698)". Lineage: Eukaryota; Viridiplantae; Streptophyta; Magnoliopsida; Lamiales; Oleaceae. The record is from RNAcentral.